Molecule: ribosomal RNA, 711 nt
Filed under: uncultured bacterium
Lineage: Bacteria
Description: bacterial SSU rRNA
Rfam family: Bacterial small subunit ribosomal RNA
Source: RNAcentral
GAAUCUUCGCUGGCCGCGUGCCUAACACAUGCAAGUCGCACGAGAAAGGGGCUUCGGUCCUGAGUAAAGUGGCGCACGGGUGAGUAACACGUGAAUGAUCUACCUUCGAGUGGGGAAUAACUGGGAGAAAUCUCAGCUAAUACCGCAUAAUACCUACGGGUCAAAGCAGCAAUGCGCUUGAAGAGGAGUUCGCGGCAGAUUAGCUAGUUGGCGGGGUAAUGGCCCACCAAGGCGAUGAUCUGUAUCCGGCCUGAGAGGGCGCACGGACACACUGGAACUGAAACACGGUCCAGACUCCUACGGGAGGCAGCAGUGGGGAAUUUUGCGCAAUGGGGGAAACCCUGACGCAGCAACGCCGCGUGGAGGAUGAAGUAUCUUGGUACGUAAACUCCUUUCGAUGGGGAAGAUAAUGACGGUACCCAUAGAAGAAGCCCCGGCUAACUUCGUGCCAGCAGCCGCGGUAAUACGAGGGGGGCAAGCGUUGUUCGGAAUUAUUGGGCGUAAAGGGUGCGUAGGCGGUUUGAUAAGUCUGAUGUGAAAUCUCUGGGCUCAACCCAGAGUCUGCAUUAGAAACUGUCGGGCUUGAGUAUGGGAGAGGUGAGUGGAAUUUCCGGUGUAGCGGUGAAAUGCGUAGAUAUCGGAAGGAACACCUGUGGCGAAAGCGGCUCACUGGACCAUAACUGACGCUGAGGCACGAAAGCUAGGGGAGCA